RNAcentral lists this ribosomal RNA (442 nucleotides) under uncultured soil bacterium. RNAcentral's name for it is "bacterial SSU rRNA". It matches the Rfam family "Bacterial small subunit ribosomal RNA", at positions 26 to 448 of the family's 1533-position model. The record is from RNAcentral.
AGGAUAAACGCUGGCGGCGUGCCUUAUGCAUGCAAGUCGUACGGACGGUAGGGCUUCGGCCCUAUCGUUAGUGGCGAACGGGUGAGUAACACGUAUGUAACCUAUCCGAAUGUGGGGGAUAACUCGCCGAAAGGCGGACUAAUACCGCAUGUGGUCACCGAUGAGAAUUCGGAUGACGAAAGGCCCGACUUGUCGGGCCGCAUUCGGAGGGGCUGCGGCCGAUUAGCUAGUUGGUGAGGUAACGGCCCACCAAGGCUACAAUCGGUAGCUGGUCUGAGAGGACGGCCAGCCACGACGGGGACUGAGACACCGGCCCCGACUCCUACGGGAGCAGCAGCAAGGAAUCGUUGCGCAAGUGGGACGAAAGCCUGACGCAGCCAACGCCGCGGUGGGAUGGAACGGCCGUUUCGGGUACCGUUAAACCCCGUUUUGGUUGGGAACG